UUUGCAUUAACUUAGAAUGUUGUUCUGUUUUAGGGCAUCUGUCACUUUAAAUCCAAAUAAGCUGCUGCUGGCCCCGGACCCCCAAACUCAACGUUUACGCUAACAAGUGAAAAUGGCUGCAAACAUAU
This is a long non-coding RNA of Poecilia latipinna (sailfin molly), 128 nucleotides long. RefSeq lists it as uncharacterized. The record is from RefSeq and is a predicted model, not a curated record. NCBI's taxonomy places the organism in Eukaryota, Metazoa, Chordata, Actinopteri, Cyprinodontiformes, Poeciliidae. The transcript is spliced from 4 exons.